UACGUAGGGGGCAAGCGUUGUCCGGAUUUAUUGGGCGUAAAGAGCGUGUAGGCGGCCUGAAAGGUCAGCUGUGAAACUCGAGGCUCAACCUCGAGACGUCGGUUGAAACCAUCUGGCUAGAGUCCGGAAGAGGAGUGUGGAAUUCCCGGUGUAGCGGUGAAAUGACGCAGAUAUCGGGGAAGAACACCCGUGGCGAAGGCGGCACUCUGGGACGGUAC
RNAcentral lists this ribosomal RNA (218 nucleotides) under uncultured bacterium. Its description in RNAcentral is "partial 16S ribosomal RNA". It matches the Rfam family "Bacterial small subunit ribosomal RNA", at positions 524 to 740 of the family's 1533-position model. The record is from RNAcentral.